UCCUUGGUAGCUCAAUGGUAGAGCGUCCGGCUGUUAACCGGGAUGUUGCAGGUUCGAGUCCUGUCCUUGGAG
RNAcentral lists this transfer RNA (72 nucleotides) under Enterocloster aldenensis. RNAcentral describes it as "[Clostridium] aldenense tRNA-Asn". It matches the Rfam family "tRNA". From Rfam's summary of the family: Transfer RNA (tRNA) molecules are approximately 80 nucleotides in length. Lineage: Bacteria; Bacillati; Bacillota; Clostridia; Lachnospirales; Lachnospiraceae. The record is from RNAcentral.